CCUAUCCCCUCGUGUGCCUUGCCUCCCAACGCAAUUCGCGGCCGCGUCGACGUUCCGACCUGCACGAAUGGCGUAACGACUUCCCCACCUGUCUCCAGCACACACUCAGUGAAAUUGAAUUCCCCGUGAAGAUGCGGGGUUCCUGCGGUUAGACGGAAAGACCCCGUGCACCUUUACUGUAGCUUUACACUGGCAAUCGUCUUUUGCAUGUGUAGGGUAGGUGGUAGGCUUUGAAGCAGGGGCGCCAGCUCUUGUGGAGCCGCAAUGUGAAAUACCACCCUUAUGAACAUGGUUGUCUAACCGCGGACCGUCAUCCGGUCCCGAGACAUUGUAUGGUAGGCAGUUUGACUGGGGCGGUCGCCUCCUAAAUGGUAACGGAGGCGUGCGAAGGGUGGGCUCAGGUUGGUCGGAAAUCAACCGUCGAGUGCAAUGGCAUAAGCCCGCCUGACUGCGAGACUGACAAGUCGAGCAGAGUCGAAAGACGGCCA
Molecule: ribosomal RNA, 488 nt
Filed under: uncultured bacterium
Lineage: Bacteria
Description: bacterial LSU rRNA
Rfam family: Bacterial large subunit ribosomal RNA
Source: RNAcentral